RNAcentral lists this ribosomal RNA (473 nucleotides) under uncultured bacterium. Its description in RNAcentral is "bacterial SSU rRNA". It matches the Rfam family "Bacterial small subunit ribosomal RNA", at positions 335 to 799 of the family's 1533-position model. The record is from RNAcentral.
ACUCCUACGGGAGGCAGCAGUGGGGAAUAUUGGACAAUGGGCGAAAGCCUGAUCCAGCCAUGCCGCGUGUGUGAAGAAGGUCUUCGGAUUGUAAAGCACUUUAAGUUGGGAGGAAGGGCAGUUACCUAAUACGUGAUUGUUUUGACGUUACCGACAGAAUAAGCACCGGCUAACUCUGUGCCAGCAGCCGCGGUAAUACAGAGGGUGCAAGCGUUAAUCGGAAUUACUGGGCGUAAAGCGCGCGUAGGUGGUUAGUUAAGUUGGAUGUGAAAUCCCCGGGGCUCAACCUGGGAACUGCAUUCAAAACUGACUGACUAGAGUAUGGUAGAGGGUGGUGGAAUUUCCUGUGUAGCGGUGAAAUGCGUAGAGAUCUGAAGGAAUACCGGUGGCGAAGGCGGCCCCUGGACAGAUACUGACACUCAGAUGCGAAAGCGUGGGGAGCAAACAGGAUUAGAUACCCUGGUAGGAAAGCG